GGAAGCACACUGCGGCGAUUCUGGAGAGGUUGUCCUUUUCUGGCAUCAGCGUUGCGGCUCAAGGCAAAGCUGGUCCUGUGCCUGCUGUCCAUUGCCGCUAAGGCCUGCUGCUGCCAUUCAGGCGUGUCUCUCUCUCUCUCUUUCAUGCCGCUCUCUCCACCCCAUCUUGGGACGGCCAGCUCUAAGAAUUCCUGCUACGACACUGAAUUCAACCAGGAGGUGAUGCCACACUCAAUCAGAAACUAUGCUACUGCUGAAGAGGUAUAUUGAGCCCUGCCUGGUUAACCUCCAGUGAGGUUAUUAGAGAAUUGGGAGAGGCUCAAAUCAGCAUCCUGCACCUAGUUAUCAAACCAUUGUGAAUUCUUGAUUCCUGGAUGGCCAGAAAACUUGUCAUUGGUCAAGAGCAACAUUAAGAUCUGCCUGUUACUCAUACUGAUGCUUCCUGCCCAGCAAGUUCAUCAGAGGGCGAGGAUGAAUUACGGUUGCCAUGAAUGUCCUUGUGAGGCAGUUGGGAAGCCUUGGCUGGAUUGUGAAGGAUAUUUGAAAAGUAUUUUAGAGUCCACCAGAUCAUCCAUGUGAGUGACCAUGCAGCAAAAGAAGGAGGGUCCUCUCAGUGAUUAAGGAUUAUGAAGUAUUAAUUCUUCCACUGAUAUCUCAAAAGGUGAUCUGGACAAAGGAACAGGUAUCUCAGAGACAGGGUUUUGCCAUGUUGCCCAGGCUAGAUUUGAACUCCUGGGCUCAAGUGAUCCUCUCGACCCAGCCUCCUGAGUAUCUGUGACUGCAGAACAGUGGUUGGUAGGAUGGCAGAGACAUGGACUUCAGAGAGUUCUUGGUAGAAGACUCAAAGAGCCACCUGUCAUGAGACAUCCCACUUCCUUCCCCAGGUUACUUCCAAGACUGAGCAGCCAGGUUUUUGGUAGAUGAGAACAAAUGUUUCUUCCUGAAGCCCUGGGGCUUCAGGUAGGAAGAAGGACUGCUAUACUUGUUCUCACCCUUGGCUUCUGGCUGCUCCAGUUAAACAUGGUUCCCAUUGAUACAGACAUUAGAGUGGGAAAGGACUUCGUUCAUAGACCGAAGACCCCCAAGAAAGGAAAGUCCUUCCGUUUUGGGAAGGGUGACAUUGAUUUCGUUUAGCUGCUUAAGAUAUGUACUUGCUGUUGUCUUGUGAGACAUGACAUCUGAAGCUGAAGAGGAGUCCCUCUCAUUGUUGUCAUUGUCCCACCGGGACUGAAAGUCUCCCAGUUGAGACAGCAUUUUAGCUUUGAUGUCUGCAGGGCAAUCAUGGAUCAGGAAAUUUCUGCAAAUUAGACUUGGAAAACAAGAUCUUGAUCCUUCUUGUCUUUGGACGAAGACUAAUCAUCACUUUUGACUGAAGGUGUAGUGCUGGAGACUAUGUUGGAGGCAGCACCUGAUGCACUAUCCAUAUUCUUCCCCUUGAUCUUGUCUUAAAGUUUUCCAAAUGGAUUCCGAGGCUUGUCUUUGAUGAAAAGGUCAAACAUACUGGCAGUCAUGUUGUUUCUCAUAAGCUGGAUGUCAACCUCAAUUUCUCCUCUUUAUCCUUCUCUCCUGGUUUGGAUUUCAAGGUAUACCACUGCAUCUUCCUGCUCCCCUAGUCUGGGUGCAGGUCCUGCAGGUACACCUCGGCGAAGCCCAAGUACAGUAGCAGCAGCAGCUCAAAGGUGGCCUCCUCCUCUGACACUGAGGUGGCAUACUUCUCCUUACCCACCUGAAUCACCGAGUACAUGUUGCUUGUACCCUCAGGCUCUUGGUUCUUGGCCCUUGGCCCUAUGCCUGCAACACUGUCACCUGCAAGUGGAUUGGGAACCACAUAGCCCCCGGACCUGCUAAGGCCAUUAAGGACAGGAUGGUGAUGCCUCGGCUGACUGACGUGAGAAGAUUGUCAUGACCCAUGGCCUCUACUGCUGUCCUACCAACAGAAAAUUCAUAAUGUUGUGCAGGCGUUACCACUACCUAGUUCCAGAACAUUGCCAUCACCCCCAAAAUAAAUCUUGCAUUCAUUAAGCAGUCACCCCUAUUUUCCUCCAUCCCUGUCAACCACUGAUUUAUGUUCUGUCUCUAUGGAUUCCCCUGUUCCGGAUAAUUCACGUAAAUGGAAUAAUACAAUAGAUGCCUUUUAUCAUGGGUUUCUUUCACUUAGGAUGUUUUGUAGGGUAAUCCAUAUAGCAUGUAUCAGGACUUCAUUUUUUUUUUUUUUUUUUUGAGAUGGAGUUUCAUUCUUCUUGCCCAGGCUGGAGUGCAGUGGUGCAGUCUCGGCUCACUUCAACCUCUGCCUUCUAGGUUCAAGCGAUUCUCCUGUCUUGGCUUCCCAAGUAGCCAGGAUUACAGGCGCCUGGCACCAUGCCCAGCUAAUUUUUUUGUAUUUUUAGUAGAGACAGGGUUUCACCAUGUUGGCCAGGCUGGUCUCAAACUCCUGACCUCAGGUGAUCCGCCUGCCUCAGCCUCCCAACGUGCUGGGAUUACAGGCGUGAGCCACCAUAGUCAGCCUUCAUUCAUUUUCAUGGAGAAAAAUAUUUCAUUGUAUGAGUAUACCACAUUUUGUUUAUCCAUUUAUCCAUUGAUUGGUUGUUUCUACUUUUUUUUUAGCUAUUAUCAAUAAUAUUGCUGUGAACAUUUGUGUACAAGGUUUUAGUGGACACAAGUUUUUAUUUUUCUUGGGUAUAUAUCUAGGAGUGGAAUUGCUGCAUCAUAUUGUAAUUCUGUUCAACUUUUUGAAGAACUUCCCAACUGUUCUCCAUGGUGGCUGUGCCAUUGUAUAUUCCUACCAGCAGUGUAUGAAGUUACAAAUUUCUCCACAUCCUGAGAACCCCUUUAUUAUUUUCUGUUUUUCUUUUUGAUUAUAGCCAUCCUAGUAGGUGUAAAGUGGUAUCUCAUUGUGAUUUUAUUUUGCAUUUCCCUAAAUGAUUAAUGAUAUUGAGCAUCUUUUCAUGUGCUUCUUGGCCAUUAGUAUAUCUUCUUUGAAGAAAUGUCUAUUCAAGUCUUUGGCAGUUUCUAAAUGAGUUAUUGUCUUUUUGUUGUUAGGUUGUAAGAGUUAUAAUCUGGAUAACAGAUCCUUAUUAGAUAUGUAAUUUGCACAUAUUUUCUCCCAUUUUGUGGGUUGUCUUGUCUUUUUUAUUUUUUAUUGCUUGUGUUUUGGUAUCAUUAUUGAUAAUUCAUUGUUAAAUUAAAGGUCAUGAAGAGUUACUCUUACUUUUUCUUCUAUAAUUUUUAGUUUUAGCUCUUGUAUUCAUGUCUGUAAUCAAUUGAAGUUAAUUUUUAAUAUAGUAUGUGUUAGGAGUCCAGCUUCAUUGUUUUGCAUGUAUCUAUGCAAUUGACCCAAAGUGAUUUGUUGAAAAAUAUUAUUUUCUGAUGGUAUGGUCCUGACACCCUUGUAGAAAUUCAAUUGAAGUUACAUGUAUGAGUUUACUUCUGCAGUCUCAAUUCUAUUCUAUUGGUCUAAAUGUUUAUCUUUAUGCCAGUACCAGCCUGUUUUGGUUAUUUUAGUUUUGUAAUAAAAUAGACAAACAUUUGGCAGAUUAAUCAAGACAAAAAGAAAAGUAUAUAGAAAUAAUAUUAUGAAAGAAAAGGGGGAGCAUAUUGAAAAACACCAUAAAGAUUAAAAAGAUUAAGGGACAGUGUUAACAAUUUAUGCCAAUAGGGUUUGAAAGUUUAGAGAAAAUAGACAAAUUCCUAGCAAAAUAUAAAUUAUCAAAACCUACUCAAGAAAAAAUAGAAAUCUUAUAUAGUCACAAGGUAUUAAAUAUUCAAUUCUUCCUAGAGACCCAAAUAUAUGCUUUCUACCAGUAACUCACUGUAAAUAAAAGGAAAGGGAUAAUACAUUGUGCAAACUCUAGUCAAAAAAAAGUUGGAAUGACAAUAUUAAUAUAAACAAAAGUGGACUUCAAAAGAAGCAAUAUUAUCAGAGAGAAAGAGGGCACUGCUUGGUGAAUUGCCCUCUGAUAAAGACAUAGCAAUACCGGAAGUAAAAAUUGACAUAACUGCAAGGGGAAAUUGACAAAUCCACAAUUAUAUUUGGGAUUUAAAUGCUUUACUCUUAAUAAUUAAUAAAAAUUAGCUAAAAAAUUAAUUUUAGCUAAAUAAAUUAGCUAAAAAGUUAAUAAGGAUAGAUCUGAACAACACUAGAAUAAACUUGUCCUAAUGGACAUUUAUAGACCACUAUAACCAAAAGUGGUAGAAUUCACAAUUUUUGCAAGUACACAUGGAAUAUUCACCAAAAUAAACCAUAUCCUGAUUUAUAAAAUAAACUAACAAACUGGCUUCUCUCACUUAGCAAUAUGAAUUUAAAUUUCCCCCAUAUCUCUUCAUGGCUUUAUACCUCAUUUCCUUUUAUUGCUGAAUAAUGUUUCAUUUUAUGGAUGGGCCAUAAAAUGUUUAUCUAUGCACCUAUAGAGGGACAUCUUGGUUGCUUCCAAGUUUUGGCCAAUAUUAAUAAAGCUGUUAUAAACAUUCAUUUGCAGGUUUUUGUGUUAUCAUGAAUUUCCACUCAUUUGGUUAAAUAACUAGGAAUAUAAUUGCUAGAUAGUAUAGCAAUUCUGUUUAGUUUUGUAGGAAACUGCAAACUGUCUUCCAAAGUGGCUGUAUCAUUUUGCAUUUCCACUAACAGUGACUGGGAGUUCCUUAUGCUAAACAUCCUCUACAGUAUUUGGUGUGGUCAGUGUUACAGAUUUUGGCUAUUCUUUCAGGUGCAUAGUGGCAUCUUAUUGUUGUUUUAAUUUGCAAUUCCCUGAUGAUGUAUGAGGGGACUUCAAAAAUUCAUGGAAAAAUUGAACUAAAAGGUAAAAGUAAAAAAUAUAAACUUCUUAACAUAAGCUCCAUCGAGUUCAAGAUACUUUGUAAGCAAUGAUACCAGCCAUUUGGUUCAUCCCUAAGGAACUGAGGGUUCUGAGAAUUUAAUCAGGUCAAUGAAGUCUUUUUUACGUUAUGAACUGAAGAAAAAUGUGUGCAAUUUAAAGGUUUGUUAAGACUUUGAAACAAAAAGAAGUCAGAAGGAGCCAAAUCAGGACUGUAAGGUGGAUGAAUGCCUAAUGAUUUCCCAUCAAAGCUCUCACAAAAUUGCCCUUGUUUGAUGAGAGGAAUAAGCAGAAGCAUUGUGAUGGGGAAGGACUCUCUAAUGAAGCUUUCCCAGGUGUUUUUCUGCUAAAGCUUUGGCUUUCUCAAAACACUUUCAUAAUAAGCAGAUGUUGUUGUUCUUUGGCCCUCCAGAAAACCAACUAGAAAAAUUCCUUUAACAUUCCAAAAGACUAUUGCCAUGAGCUUUGUUCUUGACCAGUCCACUUUUGCUUUGACUAGACCACUUCCACUUCUUGGUAGCCAUUGCUUUGAUUGUGCUUUAUCUUUAGGAUCAUACUGGUAAAGCCAUGUUUUGUCUCCUGUUAAAAUUCUUCAAGAAAUUGCUACAGGAUCUUGAUCCUACUUGUUAAAAUUUCCAUGGAAAGCUCAGCUCUUGUCUGCAGCUGAUCUGGGCACAACAGUUUUGGUACCCAUUGAGUGGAAAGUUUGCUCAACUUUAAUUUUUCAGUCAGAAUAGUGUAAGCUAAGCCAAUUUAGAUAUCUAUGGUGUUGACUAUUGUUUGUGCUGUUAAUUCUUGUUCUUCUUCAAUUAAGGCAUGGACAUAAUUUUUUUCAAUUUUUUUUCAAACGAUGUGGAAGGCUUGCUGCUAUGUGCUUCAUCUUCAGCAUCAUCUCAUCCCUUCUUAAAAUGAGUUAUCUGUUUGCAAACUGCUGAUUUCUUUUGGAGAAUCAUCCCCAUAAACUUCUCAUAAAGCAUCAAUGAUUUUACCAUUCUUCCACCCAAGCUUCACACUAAAUUUGAUGUUUGUUUUUGCUUCAAUUUUAGUAGAAUUUAUGUUGCUCUGACAGGUGCUCUUUUCAAACUUACGUCUUACCUUUUUAGUGCCUCAAACUACAUCCUGUUCAGGCAUGUUAUAACAAGUUAGUAUGAGCUUAUUUUGGUAUAAAAAAUUUGGACUCCAUAAUUUUUUCAUAAUAUGCAUUUUUCAUUACCUUUUGGAAAACAACUCAUAUCACCUUGAGCUUCUUUUCAUAUGCCUAUUUUCCAUAUGUAUAUCUUCUUUGGUGAGGUGUCCUUUUCAGAUGUUUGUACAUUUAAAAAUCAGUUAUUACCCACUCCCACCACUUCUAUUCAACAUAGUACUGGAAGUACUAUCAAGAGAGAGCAAUUAGACAAGAAAAAGAAAUUAAAGAUAUCUAAAUUGGAAAGGAAGAAGUAAAAUGAUCUCUCUUUGCACAUGAUAUGAUCCUAUGUGUAGAAAACUCCAAAGACUCCACCAAAAAAACCUAUUAGAUCUAAUAAAUGAAUUCAGUAAAGUUGCAGGAUAUAAAAUUAAUAUACAAAAAUCCAUGGCCAUUUUAUUCACAAAUAACAACCUAGCUGAGAAAUCAAGAAAACAAUCCCAUUUAUGAUAACAUAAAACACUUAAGAAUACAUUUGACCAAGAAGAUGAAAGUGCAUCAGUAUAGCCUGCACACUGAAAACCACAAAACAUUGAUGAAAUACAUUGAAGAGGACACAAAUAAAUAAAACGAUAUUCCAUGCUCAUAGAUUGGAAGAAUUAAUGUUGUUAAAGUGUCUAUACUACCCAAAGCAAUAUAUAGAUUCAAUGCAAUCCCUAUCAAAAUCUCAUCAGCAUUCUUCACAGAAAUAGAAAAAAAUCAUACAAUUUCUGUGGAUCCACAAAAGAUCCCAAAUAACCAAAGCAAUUCUGAGAAAAAAAAAUCCUGGAGGCAUCAUACUUCCCGAUUUAAAUUUAUAUUACAAAACGAGAGUAAUCAAAACAAUACAGUAUUGGCAUAAGAGAUACACAGGACAGUGAAAUAGCCAGAAAUAAAUCCAAACAUAUAUGGUUAAUGAAUUUUUGACAAGAGUACCAAAAAGACAAAAUGAGAAAAGGGUAGUCUCUUCAAUAAAUAGGUGCUGGAAUUUCCACACGCAAAAGAAUGAAAUUAGACUCUUACAUUACACCAUACACAAAAAUCAAUCCAAAAUGGAUAAAAGAUCUGAAUGUAAGACCUGAAGCCAUAAAUCUAGAAGAAAACAUAAGGGAAAAGCUCCUUGACGCUGGCUUUGGCAAUGUUUCCUUGGAUAUCACACCAAAACCUCAGGCUACAAAAGCAACAAUAAAUAAAUGAAAUUAUAUCAAUCUAAAAAACUUCUACACAGAACGAAAACAAUCAACAAAAUGAAAAGGCAAUGUACAGAUAAGGAGAAAAUAUUUGCAAACCAUAUAUCACGCAAGGUUUUAAUAUUCAGGAUUUAGGAAGAACUCAUACAACUCAAUAGCAAGACAACAUAUAACCUGAUUUAAAAAAAAUGGGGAAAGGACUUGAAUAGACAUUUCUUCAAAGAUGACAGAAAAUGACCAACAGGUAUAUGAAAUGGUGCUCAAUAUCACCAAUCAUCAGGAAAAUGCAAAUCAAAACUACUUUGAGAUACCACCUCAUACGUGUUAGGGUAGCUAUUAUCAAAAAGACAAGAGCUAACAAGUGUUGGUGAGGGUGUGGAGAAGAGGGAGCACUUGUACACUGUUAGUGGGAAUGUAUUAUAGAUUGGUGCAGCCGUUAUGGAAGACAGUAUGGAGGUUCCUAAGUAAAUUAAAAAUAGAACUACCAUAUGACCCAGCAAUCCCUCUUCUGGGUAUAUCCCCAAAGGGAAUGAGAUUAUCUCUGCACUCCCAAGUUUAUUGCAGCACAAUUCACAAUAGUCAAGAUACAGACACAACCUAGGUGUUCAUCAAUGGGCAAAUGGAUAAAGAAACUGUGAUAUAGAGAGAUCAAUAGAUAGAUAAUUAGAAUAUUAUUUAGCCUUUAAAAAGAAGGCAGUCCUGUCAUUUGCCAAAACAUGGAUAGACCUAGAAGGCAUUAUGCUAAAUGAAAUAAGCCAGACACAGAAAGAAAAAUAUUGCGUGAUCUCACUUAUAUGUGGAAUCAAGAAAAAAAAGGUUAAAUAUAUAGAGAUAGAGAAUAAAACAGUAAUUACUUAGGUCAGGAUAAGGUGGAGGAAAUGAGAUGUAGGUCAAAGGAUGCAAAGUAGUAAAUAUGCAGGAUGAACAAGUGAAAAGAUCAAAGAUCAAAUGUACAACAUGAGGACUAUAGUUAAUACAUAUUGUAUAUUGUGUUCAGGAUUUUUUGCUAAAUGAGUAGAUUAUACCUGCUCUUGCCAAUGGGGGAAUAAUCAGUAACUAUGUGAGAUGAUGGGUAUGUUCAUUGUUCCACUAUAGUUUUACUAUAUAUAUAUAUAUAUAUAUAUAUAUAUAUAUAUAUAUAUAUAUAUGUAUAUGUUUCAUUUAACAUUGUGUUGUAUACCUUAAUAUAGACAAUAAAAUUUAUUUAAAACAAAAAAAA
This 8379-nucleotide long non-coding RNA is filed under the name Pan troglodytes (chimpanzee). RNAcentral's name for it is "lincRNA". The record is from RNAcentral. Lineage: Eukaryota; Metazoa; Chordata; Mammalia; Primates; Hominidae.